UAAGGAAUAUUGGUCAAUGGACGAAAGUCUGAACCAGCCAUGCCGCGUGAAGGAUGAAGGUCCUCUGGAUUGUAAACUUCUUUUAUCUGGGACGAAAAAAGGGAAUUCUUUCUCACUUGACGGUACCAGAAGAAUAAGCACCGGCUAACUCCGUGCCAGCAGCCGCGGUAAUACGGAGGGUGCAAGCGUUAUCCGGAUUCACUGGGUUUAAAGGGUGCGUAGGUGGGCAGUUAAGUCAGUGGUGAAAUCUCCGGGCUUAACCCGGAAACUGCCAUUGAUACUAUCUGUCUUGAAUACUCUGGAGGUAAGCGGAAUAUGUCAUGUAGCGGUGAAAUGCUUAGAUAUGACAUAGAACACCGAUUGCGAAGCAGCUUACAGGAUCAUUGACCAUGAGGCACGAAA
RNAcentral lists this ribosomal RNA (402 nucleotides) under uncultured bacterium. RNAcentral's name for it is "bacterial SSU rRNA". It matches the Rfam family "Bacterial small subunit ribosomal RNA", at positions 355 to 758 of the family's 1533-position model. The record is from RNAcentral.